RNAcentral lists this ribosomal RNA (482 nucleotides) under uncultured bacterium. RNAcentral describes it as "partial 16S ribosomal RNA". It matches the Rfam family "Bacterial small subunit ribosomal RNA", at positions 30 to 507 of the family's 1533-position model. The record is from RNAcentral.
AUUGAACGCUGGCGGCAUGCCUUACACAUGCAAGUCGAACGGUAACGGGCCUUCGGGUGCCGACGAGUGGCGAACGGGUGAGUAAUACAUCGGAACGUGCCCGAUCGUGGGGGAUAACGAGGCGAAAGCUUUGCUAAUACCGCAUACGAUCUACGGAUGAAAGCAGGGGACCGCAAGGCCUUGCGCGGACGGAGCGGCCGAUGGCAGAUUAGGUAGUUGGUGGGAUAAAAGCUUACCAAGCCGACGAUCUGUAGCUGGUCUGAGAGGAUGAUCAGCCACACUGGGACUGAGACACGGCCCAGACUCCUACGGGAGGCAGCAGUGGGGAAUUUUGGCCCAUGGGCGCAAGCCUGAUCCCGCCAUGCCGCGUGCAGGAUGAAGGCCUUCGGGUUGUAAACUGCUUUUGUACGGAACGAAAAGCCUUCUUUUCAUACCGGAGGGUCAUGACGGUACCGUCAGAAUAAGCACCGGCUCCCUACGUG